AAAAAAUAACAACCACAACACAUAAUAUCAUCGUCAAAAUCAAACACAGAAAACAAACAACAACCCUUCAAAUUCAGAAUCAAACCCAGAAAACAAACAACAACAACCCUUCUUAGAGAAACAAAACCAAAUCAUUCACAUCAAAACUGUCAAAUUCUGAUUCAGUUCUUCUGCAUUCGGAUUCAAUUCAUUCACAUCAAAAUGAAAUCAUAAUGAAAAUGAGAGAAAGAGAGUAAGUGUUGUUGUAUUGCCUAUGGGUUUGUGAUUUUAGUUCUUCUGCAUCUGGGUUUUGUAUAAAAAUAAUUUCAAUAACUCAGCUUCAAACGCAAUCCCAUUCCGUAUAAAGAAAACAAAAAUAACCAACAGUUAAAUCUAUAAAAUCCCUAUAAAUCUCAUCGCACAAGAAAGGAGGUAGCGAGCCUUUAAUUUCACCGUUUAUAUUAGGAAGAAGUGAUGUUGUAUAAACUGUGGAAGAAAGAAAUGAAUAU
RNAcentral lists this long non-coding RNA (488 nucleotides) under Medicago truncatula (barrel medic). Its description in RNAcentral is "long non-coding RNA (MTRU_LNC006607)". Lineage: Eukaryota; Viridiplantae; Streptophyta; Magnoliopsida; Fabales; Fabaceae. The record is from RNAcentral.